Molecule: long non-coding RNA, 1284 nt
Organism: Sapajus apella (tufted capuchin)
Lineage: Eukaryota; Metazoa; Chordata; Mammalia; Primates; Cebidae
Exons: 2
Source: RefSeq, a predicted model, not a curated record
CUUAAUCGAGAAACGGGAAAUGGCUAGAACCUACAAGGAAUGUAAUUCGUUCCCUUCAUACUUGAAGAACCACAGCUUCAGGGAAGGAAUGAGAGCAUUGGUCUUAGGCAUAAUUGUUGUGAUCAUGAACAUAUGACAUGAAAUGUGAGCACUGGCAAAGACAUCCUGUCAAUUCACUUAAUAUAUUUUUUGAUUGCCUUCAAGAAGAAGAUAUUGAAGGACAUUCAGAUCAUGUUUUACAGCCAGUAUUGGAAGUAUUUUUAAACACUCCCCUCUCCUUUUUUUUUUUGGACGUGGGGCAUAAGGAAGAAGGCACUUUUUAUUUGAAUGGCCAGGUGGUAAGUAGGGGAGGGAAGAGCUGUUUGAUCAAUAAUGAUUUAUUAAUCCAGAGGCCACAUACUAUAGUCAUUUCUUCGGAAAAGUCUAACUGACGUCAAUGACUUUGAACAUGCAUUCUGAUUGCCUUUGCAUUCAGUCUUAUCUCAAUUUCAUCAUACCACUAACCACCUCCUUUUACCUUCAAACAAUGGCUUCACCAAGCCACUUCUGAGCAAGCCCCAGGCUUCCUUUCCUGGGGGAAAAUUACCUCACUUUCCUGAAAACGUGUCCAACAGAAACAAGAGCACUUCUUUCUAUGAAAAGCAGACAGCAAUAUUAACAUUUGCCAAUUUAGUUGGUGAUUUGCUCAAUUCAAGGACCACAGAAUGUUUGUAGUAGGGCUAAAUGUGUAGCCGGGUAGUUUUGGGGGAGGCUGUUUUGCUCUUGUAUAUAUUUUUAGCAAGUGAGAAAUAGUGAUCUUUCAUAUAAAACAGAUGCGUGGUUUGCACAAAAUUAACAUGAUUUGUCCUUUGCUAGGCAAAAUGGAAGUGGUGAGUGGUGCAGUAUUUCAACUAAAAGAUAUAUUAUAGAACAUUAACAUAUCAAGUUAGAAGAAUGUUCUUUGCAAGCAAAAAUAUUGAUUCAUUAAAAAAACUUUUCAAAAUAGAAUUGUUCAUAAGUUAUUAUUGCUGUUCCCAUAAAAAUAUUUUCUGUUUAAAUUCAUAACAAACAUUCUUAGGAGGCGAAAUGUCUUUUCUAUGUCCCAUUUAACAAUGUAAUCACUUUGUUUUCAAAAUCUCAUUUUAUUCCAGCUGGAAGAUAUAUGAUCUUGUUAUACAAAACAAUCACUUCAUCUCUGCAGAGCCUUAUUAUUGGAAUAUAUGAUCUUAUCUUCUACGUUGACUUCAUUCUCACGCAGAGAAUGAAGAGCAGGCAACUUGAAUUGUCUGUAUAGAGGAAUCCCAG